GCAGACACAUUCCAGCCAAUCAGCAGCAGACCCUCCCUCCCAGACCCUCCCACCUCCUGGACAGCAUCAAUUGUGAAGCUGCAUUCUUAGUGAGCUGUCCAGGAGAUGGGAGGGUCUGGGAGGGAGGGUCUGCUGCUGAUUGGCUGGAAUGUGUAUG
Molecule: non-coding RNA, 157 nt
Organism: Pelobates cultripes (western spadefoot toad)
Lineage: Eukaryota; Metazoa; Chordata; Amphibia; Anura; Pelobatidae
Source: the annotation of a GenBank genome assembly